GGCGCGAUAGCAAAGUGGUUAUGCACCGGAUUGCAAAUCCGUUCACAGCGGUUCGAUUCCGCUUCGCGCCU
This 71-nucleotide transfer RNA is filed under the name Sutterella sp. CAG:397. It matches the Rfam family "tRNA". Rfam says of the family: Transfer RNA (tRNA) molecules are approximately 80 nucleotides in length. Their secondary structure includes four short double-helical elements and three loops (D, anti-codon, and T loops). Lineage: Bacteria; Pseudomonadati; Pseudomonadota; Betaproteobacteria; Burkholderiales; Sutterellaceae. The record is from Rfam by way of RNAcentral.